AGAGUUUGAUCCUGGACUCAGGAUUAACGCUGGCGGUAUGCCUAACACAUGCAAGUCGAACGGAAUACUAAUUAAGAGAAUCUCACACUAGUGAGAGGUUCUCACGAGUAGUAUUUAGUGGCGGACGGGUGAGUAACACGUUGGAACCUGCCCCGAAGUGGGGAAUAACUGCUCGAAAGAGUAGCUAAUACCCCAUAGUAUCCGGUUUAUCCGGAUUAAAGAUUUAUCGCUUCGGGAGGGGCCUGCGUCUGAUUAGCUAGUUGGUGAGGUAAAAGCUCACCAAGGCGACGAUCAGUAGCUGGUUCGAGAGGAUGACCAGCCACACUGGGACUGAGAUACGGCCCAGACUCCUACGGGAGGCAGCAGUGAGGAAUCUUCCACAAUGGGCGCAAGCCUGAUGGAGCAAUACCGCGUGCAGGAAGACGCUUUUCGGAGUGUAAACUGCUUUUGUCGUCGAAGAUUAUGACUGUAGACGAAGAAUAAGGACCGGCUAACUACGUG
RNAcentral lists this ribosomal RNA (501 nucleotides) under uncultured bacterium. Its description in RNAcentral is "bacterial SSU rRNA". It matches the Rfam family "Bacterial small subunit ribosomal RNA", at positions 8 to 507 of the family's 1533-position model. The record is from RNAcentral.